AAACUCGAAUUAUUAAAUUCGUAGGAAUGUCACCAUGUGUAAUUAAAUAAAAUACAAUAACUAAGUUAUUAAACUUAGUUAAAUGCCUAAUAAACAAGUUAAGGAAUGAAACUUGUGGCAACUAUAAUGGAAUGGUAAACUUGAGGGACUUAGAUUGCCAAAAAGGAAAUAUAUUUUAUUAAAACAAAAACAAAAAAAAAAAUCACACACACAGGGUGUGUGUCUGCGUACGAUCGCAGGAGAAGGGGAAAAAGGGGGUGUAAACCCUAACCACAAAAAAAUCAUCAAUUGAAAAGGAAAUCGCGGGUUGAUUGUGUGCAUGAACCAAGAAUGAUGAUCCCUUAAGCGUUUCUCACAUCAAAUAAUAGGAACGUGUCAAGGAGAGGUCAAGCAUAGGAGGAUAACGGGUCAAGAUAAGGCAAGGUGACAAAUACACUUAUUGGAGUACUCGAGGUAAGUGAAUUUCGAUUCACUUUUUAGUAGGUUUAAUAGAUUUUAAUACUUAUGUUUACGAAACAUCAUGAAAGAACAUGUAAUAAUCAGAAGUACAAAGCCAAUAAUGCCUCAUUAUUGAAGAAGGUUGUAUUUAAGCCGAAAGUAAAUUGGUGGGUUUAAACGGGUCGAAUUUUAUGUGCAUAUGUUGCGUAAUGUAAUGAAAUUCGUUAUGGUUAAGACCUUGGGUAAGAAUUUUUAGUCAUUAUGUAAGGGGAACAUUUCCCGGACCAUUAGGAACAAGUUUUAUAUGAUUCGGUUGUCGGUUAGUGAAUGAACGGAUUGUUUCGUGUUAGUGUAGGAAAUUUUAUAAGUAUAUGUGUAUAGGAAUCCAAAGGGCACGUGGGUUGAAUCAUAGAUUGUCUAUACUAUGUAAAGUUGUGAAUGUGACAUUCCGGCAUAAACCUACAUGUAAAAGAAGCUUGUGUAUAUAUUCGUGAUUAAUUGAUUGUGCGUAGGAAGGAACAUUGGCAUGUAUGAAGGUACGCAUGUAUAUAUAUAAGUGUAUAUAUAUAUAUGUAUGUAUGUAUGAUAAUAAGUACGUAGGUGUGAAUGUGUGUGUGAAUGAAUGUUCAAUGCUUAAGACAUAUGCAUGAACGUUAUCAAAGUGUUCGAGUAUUUAUGGAUACUAAUGAUGUGCGUUGAGUUGGAAUGUAAUGUAGGUAUGGGAUCGUUGGCUUCAUGAAGAAAUGGAGCUGGAUUUGGAUAAGAGUAUUUAAGAAAGCGCUUGGACAAUUCCACGACUACUUUAUAGAAUGCUCUACGAAAUUCUAUUAUAUAGUUUAAUGUUGUAUGGUAUGUUAAUGACUAAUGGUUUGGUUGUACGUGGUGUCCACAGGUAUCGCUUGGGUUUUCUCUACAUUUAUUGAAGUGAAGCGGACUUAGUUCGAGUUGAUAGCAAGGAUUGUACGGGGUAGAAUGGUCACAUAGUGUAACUCAUAUAGGUUUUGAAGUAUUAAUGUUAUAAAACGUUAUAAAUCCGUUUUAAUGAAUAUAUGGCAUUUCGCAUUUGAACCUUCAUGUGUUUGAUAUGUCUAUUAAAGAACGAAAUUUUUGGGCU
Helianthus annuus (common sunflower) is the source of this 1552-nucleotide long non-coding RNA. RefSeq lists it as uncharacterized. The transcript is spliced from 2 exons. The record is from RefSeq and is a predicted model, not a curated record. Lineage: Eukaryota; Viridiplantae; Streptophyta; Magnoliopsida; Asterales; Asteraceae.